Molecule: long non-coding RNA, 2405 nt
Filed under: Lactuca sativa (garden lettuce)
Lineage: Eukaryota; Viridiplantae; Streptophyta; Magnoliopsida; Asterales; Asteraceae
Description: long non-coding RNA (LSAT_LNC001647)
Source: RNAcentral
GUAAAAAGCACAUAUAUACUUUAUUAUAAAACACCGUAUAAAUAUUAAAUAAACUCCAAAUGUCCAUACAUGAUAAAUAAACAAAAUUAUACAUGAUAAAUAAACAAAAUUAUACUCCAAAUAUCCAUACAUGAUAAAUAAACAAAAUUAUUUUUCAAAGCUAAAUAUUUGAUAUAAAAGUAAACUUCUAAAAAAACACAAGAAUAAUCCAUAAAAUUAAGUUGCUGACUUAAUCUCUUCAAGUUUUUUUCUUCUUGUGUUUUUCCGUGAUUUGAAAAAUAUGAGUAAUGGACUAAAACAUAUAUCCUGAUGUUGUUGCAAAGGCAAAAGCUUUCCAUUCGUAAUACUCAGUGUUUGAAGCAUCCACUUCCUCUUUUUUUUUUUUUUCUGCUGCAGAUGCGGACAUUGUCAAGGCUAAAGCAGGACACACAUCUCAUGGGUCACAGUCUCCAAAUGUCAUUGUUGUCAUUACAUUAAUAUGAAUAUAACAUAAACAGAUAACCUUAAAGAGAAGAAAUUAGAAAAUGAUAAAAAAACAAUACAAUAAUCAACAAAUAAAUAAGGAGUAGAAAGAAGGAUUUGAAAGGGGGAAAAAAGCUUUAGUUUCAGUAAAAUGGAAAUGUAGAAAACCCCCCAAAAGGUGUAAAAUAACGACAUAGCACAAAGUCUUAAGAACCCAACAAAAGGUGAAAUUUUCACAAAAUCAGAACUAAAACACAAAAUAAAUAGAUAAACCAUAGACAAAUUAUAAAUUUACCCCAAGGAGAAUAUUUGUGAGUAAAGGGUUUCUGAAUCCAUAUUUGAUUUGCUUGGUUAUUGUUGCACAAAGACACAAACCCCACUCUUCUUGCCUCAGAAGCAGAGUAAACCUUAAAACCACCUAAUAUAUUAAGAAACUUAAGUUCAUUAAGAAAAAAUUGAAAUCAAAUAGAGUAAAGUCGAAAAGAAACCAAAUAAAAAACACAUAUGAAAAAAUUUGUUUCUAGAAAACCAUAUCUGCCAAAAAUUAAUAAAAGAAACAAUUUAUGAAGGUUUGCUAUAAUCGUGAAGGUUUCAAAGUAAAAUAGAAAGAAAGUCAUAAAACUUCAUAUGUAUUCCAAUUUGUUAAAAUUAAAAAACGUAAAACAUGUUUACACAAAAAAUGGACACCAAUCAUACUUAAGCAUAGAUGAAAAACUCAAGAUUUAUUUGGGCGUCUAUGGUCCGUCAAGAUGCAUAUACACAUAAGAUGAAAAAAAUACCUACAAACAUUACAUGAUGGGAUUCAUUUUCCGGAGGCCUAAAAAAAACGAAGUAAAAAAGAAGGUCACAUUGAUUAAACUUUUCGCAUUCUAUUCCCCUUCACCAUGAAUGCACCUGUAAAUAGCAAAACAUCAGGUGGAGAUGAUUAUGAACACUACUAAAUGAAGAAUCAUAGACUAUAUGAUUUUAAAACAGAACCUGCAUUUAAAACAUAAAUAGAUUAGAUCAUGAGAUUUUGAGUAACAAAAACAAACAACUGUAAUGGAAAGAGGAAGAGUUGAAGAGAGUUGAGAUUGUUGCCUGGAAAAUCAUAAAAAAUGUGCCUAGUGGUGAAUAUGGUGACCGGAGUCAAAGAAGACCAUCACCAUGACCAUGUAUGUGGUGCCGAUAAAAUCUCUUGGUAACGGUACCUACAACCCAAAUUAAAAUCUAAGAGAGAGAGAGAGAGAGAGAGAGAGAGAGAGAGAGUCAAUGAUGCUAGUGUUUGGAUAUAGAUCCAGAUCCACUAAUCGACACAGUGGAGAAACAUGGUGGUGUACUAAAAUUGAAACACCAAAUUCAGUUGUAUUCCUGGUCUCGUUCUUCAACCUCGGUUCAUUCAAUUUCCUAUAAUCUUCAUCCCAUAUUCAAAACGAUGAAGGUGUUUGUGUGUGAUUUAAAAAUUAGGGAUGGGAAAAUGCCACUCUAAAUUUUCAGCUAUUUCUCUUUCGAUCUGUUUGAUGAAAUAAUGAUGUCUAGGGCUGAUAUUAGAUUUAGGGAUUUUAGAAAUAAUAUGUGAGUGAGGGUGGCGAUAGCUAGAGGUUUAUUGAAGGGAGAUUAUUGGAAUAUAUGGUGAAGAUGGAAGUGAGAAAUUUGUGCGGCGGCGGAAGGUGGAGGUACAUGGAAGAAUACAGGGGAUUCCGGCUUAGACCUGGAAGCUUUGAUUUGCGAUUCCAGCUGAGGAUACAAACAAAUAAGAAGUAAGAAGAAGGAGUCGACUGAGUGAUGUUUAAUCGUUGUUAGGAUGCAAGAUAUCUAUAAAUCCACUAUAAUCGUUGCAUAGGUGGGGUGGGAUUUAGAAGAUAACCUUACCGAUUCGAGAUAAUCGGUGUUUAGAGAGAGAGAGAGAGAGAGAGAGAGAGAGAGAGAGAGAGAGAGAGAGAGAGAGAGAGAGAGAGAGNNNN